Molecule: ribosomal RNA, 497 nt
Filed under: uncultured bacterium
Lineage: Bacteria
Description: partial 16S ribosomal RNA
Rfam family: Bacterial small subunit ribosomal RNA
Source: RNAcentral
GAUGAACGCUGGCGGCGUGCCUAAUACAUGCAAGUCGAGCGAACAGAUGAGGAGCUUGCUCCUCUGACGUUAGCGGCGGACGGGUGAGUAACACGUGGAUAACCUACCUAUAAGACUGGGAUAACUUCGGGAAACCGGAGCUAAUACCGGAUAAUAUAUUGAACCGCAUGGUUCAAUAGUGAAAGACGGUUUUGCUGUCACUCAUAGAUGGAUCCGCGCCGCAUUAGCCAGUUGGUAAGGUAACGGCUUACCAAGGCAACGAUGCGUAGCCGACCUGAGAGGGUGAUCGGCCACACUGGAACUGAGACACGGUCCAGACUCCUACGGGAGGCAGCAGUAGGGAAUCUUCCGCAAUGGGCGAAAGCCUGACGGAGCAACGCCGCGUGAGUGAUGAAGGUCUUCGGAUCGUAAAACUCUGUUAUUAGGGAAGAACAAAUGUGUAAGUAACUAUGCACGUCUUGACGGUACCUAAUCAGAAAGCCACGGCUAACUACGUG